Molecule: ribosomal RNA, 253 nt
Filed under: uncultured bacterium
Lineage: Bacteria
Description: partial 16S ribosomal RNA
Rfam family: Bacterial small subunit ribosomal RNA
Source: RNAcentral
UACGUAGGGAGCAAGCGUUGUCCGGAAUAAUUGGGCGUAAAGCGCGCGUAGGUGGCUUCGUAAGUCCGUUGUGAAAGUCAAAGGCUCAACCUUUGAAAGCCGAUGGAUACUGCGGAGCUAGAGUACGGAAGAGGCGAGUGGAAUUCCUGGUGUAGCGGUGGAAUGCGCAGAUAUCAGGAGGAACACCAAUAGCGAAGGCAGCUCGCUGGGACGUUACUGACACUGAGGCGCGAAAGCGUGGGGAGCGAACAGG